This 305-nucleotide ribosomal RNA is filed under the name uncultured bacterium. RNAcentral's name for it is "bacterial SSU rRNA". It matches the Rfam family "Bacterial small subunit ribosomal RNA", at positions 335 to 636 of the family's 1533-position model. The record is from RNAcentral.
CCUCCUACGGGAGGCAGCAGUGAGGAAUAUUGGUCAAUGGACGCAAGUCUGAACCAGCCAAGUAGCGUGCAGGAUGACGGCCCUCCGGGUUGUAAACUGCUUUUAGUUGGGAAUAAAAGGGGGCUCGUGAGCCCCGUAUUGUAUGUACCAUCAGAAAAAGCAUCGGCUAACUCCGUGCCAGCAGCCGCGGUAAUACGGAGGAUGCGAGCGUUAUCCGGAUUUAUUGGGUUUAAAGGGUGCGUAGGCGGACUGUUAAGUCAGCGGUAAAAGCCCGGGGCUCAACCCCGGCGAGCCGUUGAAACUGG